GACGAACGCUGGCGGCGUGCUUAACACAUGCGAGUCGAACGAUGAAGCCUAGCUUGCUAGGUGGAUUAGUGGCGAACGGGUGAGUAAUACGUGAGUAACCUACCUUUAACUCUGGGAUAAGCCUGGGAAACUGGGUCUAAUACCGGAUACGACCAAUCUCCGCAUGGGGUGUUGGUGGAAAGCGUUAUGUAGUGGUUAUAGAUGGGCUCACGGCCUAUCAGCUUGUUGGUGAGGUAACAGCUCACCAAGGCGACGACGGGUAGCCGGCCUGAGAGGGUGACCGGCCACACUGGGACUGAGACACGGCCCAGACUCCUACGGGAGGCAGCAGUGGGGAAUAUUGCACAAUGGGCGCAAGCCUGAUACAGCGACGCCGCGUGAGGGAUGACGGCCUUCGGGUUGNUAACCUCUGUUAGCAGGGAAAGAGAGAAAUUGACGGUACCUGCAGAGAAAGCGCCGGCUAACUACGUGCCAGCAGCCGCGGUAAUACGUAGGGCGCGAGCGUUGUCCGGAAUUAUUGGGCGUAAAGAGCUUGUAGGCGGUUUGUCGCGUCUGCUGUGAAGGCCGGGGCUUAACCCCGUGUAUUGCAGUGGGUACGGGCAGACUAGAGUGCAGUAGGGGAGACUGGAAUUCCUGGUGUAGCGGUGGAAUGCGCAGAUAUCAGGAGGAACACCGAUGGCGAAGGCAGGUCUCUGGGCUGUAACUGACGCUGAGAAGCGAAAGCAUGGGAAGCGAACAGGAUUAGAUACCCUGGUAGUCCAUGCCGUAAACGUUGGGCACUAGGUGUGGGGGACAUUCCACGUUUUCCGCGCCGUAGCUAACGCAUUAAGUGCCCCGCCUGGGGAGUACGGCCGCAAGGCUAAAACUCAAAGAAAUUGACGGGGGCCCGCACAAGCGGCGGAGCAUGCGGAUUAAUUCGAUGCAACGCGAAGAACCUUACCAAGGCUUGACAUAUACUGGACCGCAUCAGAGAUGGUGUUUCCCUUCGGGGCUGGUAUACAGGUGGUGCAUGGUUGUCGUCAGCUCGUGUCGUGAGAUGUUGGGUUAAGUCCCGCAACGAGCGCAACCCUCGUUCUAUGUUGCCAGCACGUUAUGGUGGGGACUCAUAGGAGACUGCCGGGGUCAACUCGGAGGAAGGUGGGGAUGACGUCAAAUCAUCAUGCCCCUUAUGUCUUGGGCUUCACGCAUGCUACAAUGGCCGGUACAGAGGGUUGCGAUACUGUGAGGUGGAGCUAAUCCCUAAAAGCCGGUCUCAGUUCGGAUUGGGGUCUGCAACUCGACCCCAUGAAGUCGGAGUCGCUAGUAAUCGCAGAUCAGCAACGCUGCGGUGAAUACGUUCCCGGGCCU
RNAcentral lists this ribosomal RNA (1347 nucleotides) under uncultured bacterium. RNAcentral describes it as "bacterial SSU rRNA". It matches the Rfam family "Bacterial small subunit ribosomal RNA", at positions 28 to 1381 of the family's 1533-position model. The record is from RNAcentral.